RNAcentral lists this transfer RNA (63 nucleotides) under Metacanthus pulchellus. Its description in RNAcentral is "tRNA-Cys". It matches the Rfam family "tRNA". From Rfam's summary of the family: Transfer RNA (tRNA) molecules are approximately 80 nucleotides in length. Their secondary structure includes four short double-helical elements and three loops (D, anti-codon, and T loops). Further hydrogen bonds mediate the characteristic L-shaped molecular structure. tRNAs have two regions of fundamental functional importance: the anti-codon, which is responsible for specific mRNA codon recognition, and the 3' end, to which the tRNAs corresponding amino acid is attached (by aminoacyl-tRNA synthetases). tRNAs cope with the degeneracy of the genetic code in two manners: having more than one tRNA (with a specific anti-codon) for a particular amino acid; and 'wobble' base-pairing, i.e. permitting non-standard base-pairing at the 3rd anti-codon position. The record is from RNAcentral. Lineage: Eukaryota; Metazoa; Arthropoda; Insecta; Hemiptera; Berytidae.
GGCUUUAUAGUCAAUUGAAUGAUAUUAGAUUGCAAAUCUAAAGUUGUAUUUAUACUAAAGCUU